RNAcentral lists this long non-coding RNA (4362 nucleotides) under Sus scrofa (pig). RNAcentral describes it as "lncRNA (ENSSSCG00030029972.1)". The record is from RNAcentral. Lineage: Eukaryota; Metazoa; Chordata; Mammalia; Artiodactyla; Suidae.
UUUUGGAACUAUUUACAAACUCUAGAAACAAUCUCUGUGACCUUGAUAGCAAAUGCUAAAGGACUUACAAUGAACCAAGUUUUUAUGUAUAAACCUUGUUCACAUUUUGUUUUCAUCUUGGGUAGAUUGUUAGAAAAAAAUUUUAUGGUUCAUGACAUGAAUUGUAAACCUGCUGUCUAAAAAUGAUUUAAAGAAUAACAAUUCCUCAGGACAUGAGAUUUUGUCUUAUCCAGAUAGCACAGAGAAUGACCUAUUUAAAACUUUAGGCAAAAAAAAAAAUUGUAUUAUGGUUUUAAUUUUUUUCUUUACUAGUGAGUUUAAGCUUUUUUAAAGCAAACAUAUAAAAUAUUUAUAUUGUCUCUUUUUCUAUUUAUAUCUUUAUUCUUCAUAGCCAUUUCCUACUUUUUUCUUAAUUUUUUUGUUUAUGUUCAGUCUAUAUCAUCCAUAUAUUCAAGAUGUUAACUGGAUGCCAAAAUCUGUCUGUCGUAGUCACCAAGAAUUUAUGCUCAUUUGAGAGACUAUCUGUAAUAACAAUGAUUAUGAUCUUUAAGUAAUUUACACAGUUAAAUAACAGGUACUACUAACAAAAUAGGUAGUUGAUUGACAAAAACUAAAUGCAAAUAAUAUUGCCAGAUAUACACAAAAAUUGCAAUUUCUUUUCUGAGCUAUCCUUUCCUUAAAAUACAACAUGGCUCUACAUUUGACUCAAUUAAAUUAUUUAAAAAUUUUUAAAUAAAUAGGCAAAAGACCCAGAAUAGCCAUUGCAAUAUUGAAGCAGAAGAAUAAAGUUGGAUAAUGACACUAACUGGCCUCAGGACUUACUGUAAAACUAUAGUAAUCCAAAUCGUGUAGUAUUGGUGUAAGAAGAGACAAAUAGAUCAAUGGAACAGAAUUGAGAGCUCAGAAAGAGACCCACAUAACUACAGUCAGCUGAUUUUUAACAAAGGGCAAAUAACAAUACAAUACAAUGUAACAGUCUUUUCAACAAAUGGUGUUGGAACAACCAGACAUCCACAUGCCAAAAAAUAAAAAUAAAAAUAAAAAUAAAAAAAAAAUAAAAAGAAUUCCUUCACAAAAUUAAAUCAAAAUGUGUCACAGACCUAAGUAUAAAAUGCAAAACUCUAAAACUCCAGGUAAAUGACAUAGGAGAAAGCCUACAGUAAACCUAUGGACUUUGGGUAAGGCAAUGACAUUUUAGAUAACAACAUCAAAGGCACGAUCCAUGAAAGAAACAAUUUGUAAGCUGGACUUUAUUAAAAUUAAAUAAAGUCUACUCUGAGAAAGACAAUGUCAAAAGAAUGAGAAGUCAAGCCAUACAAAGCUAGAAAAUAUUUGCAAAAGACAUCUGAUGAAGGACUGUCAUACAAAACAUACCAAGAACACUUGGUGAGGAUGCGGAGCAAUAGGAACUCUGAUUCAUUGCUGAUGGGGAUCCCAAAACGGUGCAGCCACUUCGGAAGUCAUAUGGCAGUUUCUCAGGAAACUAAACAAACUCCUACACAUGAUCCAAUAAUCAUGCUCCUUGGUAUUCAUACAAAGUAGUUGAAAACUUAUGUCCACACAACAACUUGCACAUGAUGUCUCCAGCAGCUUUAUUCAUCAUCGACCAAACUUGGAAGCAACCAAGAUGCCCUUCAGUAGGUGAACAGAUAAACAAAUGGUGGUUCAUGCAGACAAUGGAAUAUUACUCAGCACUAAAACAAAAUGAGCUAUCAAGCCAUGAAAAGAUAUGGAGGAAAUUAAUGCAUGAUAUUCAGUGAAGGAAGCCAGUCUGAAAAGGCUCCUUGCUGUAUGACUGCAACUGUAAGGCCUUCUGGAAAAAACAAAACUAUGGAGAUAUUUUAUUUAUUUAUUUAUUUUCUCAUUUGGUCACUCUUUUUUUUUUUUUUUUUUUUUUUUUUUUUUUGAGGUGGUCUCUGCCCUGGCCCUGAAUCUAAAAUGUCCCUCCCCCUAGCUAGCAUCCUUUUCACGGAGCCCAGGUCUUUUCUGUCCCAGUGCUUAUGAGAGUUUGUGUUGAAAACCCUUUGACAUCAUGGUGGUAAAUUUUGUAAGUCCAUCUCUGGUUUACUUAUCUCUGUUUAAAGAACUUGUCUCUUAGAGAGCGUCAUGUCAACUACACAUGAAUUCCAGAAGCGGAACUUGAUAAAAGUAAUUAUGUUCAUAGUAGACACUGUGCAUGUAAGUUGACACCCUUCUCUUCAAUAUCAACAUCCACUGAUUUACACAGGGAGUGAGGGAAAACCUUAAAGGAAGCAUCAAGAUUAGAAGCAGGGGUCUGAAGCAUGCCUGGGUGACUUGGGCGAAUGCUAGGACUUGCAGAAGUGAGGUGGGUAAACAGGGCGCAAAGAGCUGGUGUGAAAAAAGCAUCCUAGAUGUCUGUGAGUGCAAGGACUUGGCCCUGAAGGAGCUGCAGGAAACCAGGGGAAUGACCACCAGAGAAAGCAAAGCGACAUCCCCAGAUCUUAGUUGGAAUAUGGUGAACUCUGGAAAGCAGUCCAUGCCCAGUGUCUUGCUUCCAUUACCCUCCACUUCUAACCACCCUCCCAUAGGCCAAGGGGCACAGGGGACACCUGCAUUACAUGGACACAGAUUAAAAGCUAACAUUUAAGGUGAAAGGAAUUGACCUGUUAUGGGAAGAUACUGAAAGUCAGAUAUAUGCAUACGUGUGUAUUUAUGUAUUUGUUUAGUUAAUAGUUUCUCUUACAAUGUUACAAGUUGCACAAUCACAAAUAUUUCAGUGCAGUUUAAAAAUGUAUGCUAACAUGGUUAGUGUUUUUCACCAGUGUUUUUACCAUGUGGCUAGUGUUUUUACCAGUCAGCCCCACAGCAUGUGUAGGAGUGGGGAUGUGGGCGUACCACGGAAAAUGGGGGUGGAGAAAGGAUUGUGCUAAUUAACAAUCACAGGAUGGCCACAUUCGUAGAAGUAAUUCUAGAAAAAGUCUGUACUCUCCAGCAGUGUUAUGUAUUAUGCCCACAUCAAUAAGUAUUAUGAAGCGGUUGUAAGAAAUUAUAAGGGAAUAGAUAAACAGCAAAGUCCUAUUAUACAGCACAGGGAAUUACAUCCAAUCUCCUGGGACAGACCAUGAUGAAAAAGAAUAUGAAAAAGAAUGUAUGUAUAUAUAUAUAAAACUGACUCACUUUUCUGCACAGCAGAAAAUGGCUGUAAACAUUGUAAAUCAACUAAACUUUAAUAAAAAAUAAAGAAAUUAUAAGUAAUCAGUAACGCACCUUCAUGGAAUAGAACAAUCAGAGAAACUAGAGUAGUCAGCAAAGCCAUAUUUCUGUGGGAAAGUAAUUCUGUGAAACAGAAGAGUAUUGUGUUGGCAGUGAAGGUCUUCAAACGGUGACAAUCUAUAGUUUGCGACACUUAGGAUUAGCAAGAAGGACAAGGAUUGAUUGUUUCAGACAGGUGAGAUACAGCACUUACAGGAAAUUUGUGAAAAUGUGUUAGUGGUUGACAGACUAAGUAAUAAGGCCUGUAAAAUUCUUAGGAACCAAGGUUUUGCUGUGAGGAAUGUCUGCCUUCUGCUUGCAUUUAUCCAACACCUUCUCCAGAUUGCCAAACAACUUGUCUGACUCAACAGAAGUUGCUAAAUUGUGAUUAAGAUUAGGGUUUUGGCUUUUAUAAUGGCUUUAUCUGAUCCCUAAAUCAGAGGUUAAGAUUCUCUGAGUUACAUCAUCUACCAACUAGAGUGCUGUUUUGAAAACAGAUGGAGCAAAAAACCAUAAUGGAUCUUGGACUAUAAAACUACAGUGCCCAUGAAAAGGAACAAGCAGAGAUAAUCUUUUUAUGUGCCAGUAAAUUAAAAAGAAAAAAACUCCUCAAUAGCCAAGUUAAGUAUAUUAUCUUUGGAGAAUUAGAAGUGUAUUUAAUCAUGAUACUAAUAAAAUUUCUUUCAAAAACAAUAUGUUGUCAGUGUGAUUUACACUUUAAUGUAAUAACACUGUUUGAAGCUGUGGUUUGUGAUUCUUUGAGUCUUAUUAUAAUUUAAAGAGAGGAAGUUAUGCCUUUGGUUUGUAAUGUGUUCAUGGAAAACAUAUUCAUAUACACACAGAAAAAUAAAAUCAUGAUUUUUAUAGCUAAGAAAGAUCAAAAUUUGACCUUCAGCCAGUAGAUGGAGAAGUUGAUCUUAGAUUCACAAUCCUAUUUAAAAAGUCUCUUUGUGAGUUCCAGAAGCAUAGAGUAAAACUGCUGCUGAUUCAGGUAUUUGGGGGUUGUUUUCAUGGUUAUUUUCUGAUUGUUCUGCAAAAAACAGCUCUUCCAGUUGCUGUCCACAUCUCCUGGGGGAUCAGUAUUUUUUCUUGGAGGUUUAUCCUACACAGCCCUUAUGUGUUUUGUCCAUAGGCAUGUGUUUUAAACUG